Molecule: ribosomal RNA, 658 nt
Filed under: uncultured bacterium
Lineage: Bacteria
Description: bacterial SSU rRNA
Rfam family: Bacterial small subunit ribosomal RNA
Source: RNAcentral
AGUGGCGAACGGGUGAGUAACGCGUGAGUAUCUGCCCUUAGGAGGGGGACAACAGUUGGAAACGACUGCUAAUACCCCAUAUGUCUACGGAUGAAAGAUUUUAUCGCCUGAGGAUGAGUUCGCGUCUGAUUAGCUAGUUGGUGAGGUAAAGGCUCACCAAGGCGACGAUCAGUAGCUGGUCUGAGAGGAUGAUCAGCCACACUGGGACUGAGACACGGCCCAGACUCCUACGGGAGGCAGCAGUGGGGAAUUUUCCGCAAUGGGGGCAACCCUGACGGAGCAAUACCGCGUGCGGGAGGACGGCCUGUGGGUUGUAAACCGCUUUUCUCAGGGAAGAAGACCUGACGGUACCUGAGGAAUCAGCAUCGGCUAACUCCGUGCCAGCAGCCGCGGUAAUACGGAGGAUGCAAGCGUUAUCCGGAAUUAUUGGGCGUAAAGCGUCCGUAGGUGGUUAAUCAAGUCUGCUGUUAAAGAGCGGAGCUCAACUCCGUUUAAGCGGUGGAAACUGGUUGACUAGAGAGUGGUAGGGGUAGAGGGAAUUCCCAGUGUAGCGGUGAAAUGCAGAUAUUGGGAAGAACACCGGUGGCGAAAGCGCUCUACUGGGCCACAUCUUACACUGAUGGACGAAAGCUAGGGAGCGAAAGGGAUUAGAUACCCC